CCUACGGGUGGCAGCAGUCGAGAAUCAUUCACAAUGGGGGAAACCCUGAUGGUGCGACGCCGCGUGGGGGAAUGAAGGUCUUCGGAUUGUAAACCCCUGUCAUGUGGGAGCAAAUUAAAAAGAUAGUACCACAAGAGUACGAGACGGCUAACUCUGUGCCAGCAGCCGCGGUAAUACAGAGGUCUCAAGCGUUUUUCGGAAUCACUGGGCGUAAAGCGUGCGUAGGCUGUUUCGUAAGUCGUGUGUGAAAGGCGCGGGCUCAACCCGCGGACGGCACAUGAUACUGCGAGACUAGAGUAAAGUAGGGGGAGGCGGAAUUCGCGGUGUAGCAGUGAAAUGCGUAGAUAUCGAGAGGAACACUCGUGGCGAAGGCGGGUUCCUGGACAUUAACUGACGCUGAGACACGAAGGUCAGGGGAGCGAAAGGGAUUAGAUACCCCAGUAGUC
RNAcentral lists this ribosomal RNA (446 nucleotides) under uncultured bacterium. Its description in RNAcentral is "partial 16S ribosomal RNA". It matches the Rfam family "Bacterial small subunit ribosomal RNA", at positions 338 to 795 of the family's 1533-position model. The record is from RNAcentral.